GGGAACGGGCAGGGGUUGGUUGCGGGGAUCUGCGAUAGCUAUGAAAUCCUCCAUUUCCUGAACCAACACGAUUACCAUUAGCCAUCUCUCUGUACAGAUAUAUGUAUCUCUCUCUAAAUAUAUAAAGUGGCUCUUGGCAAGUGAUAUUUAUAGCUACAAUAUUUAGGAGAAAGGGGGGGACACAUAGCAGUAGGGCGUAAUGAACGAGGUGAAGGUAUUCGCCCGGAUAAAUAGGUUUUCACAGUUGGGCAAAUGAGUAUUGACCGAAAACAACAUAGUUAUGUACUACUACUUCCUCAACCCAAAAUAAGUGUAAUUUUAGCUCAUUUGACGUCCAUUAAGGAAAAUAAUAAAUUGAAGGUAUAGUUUAUUAAGUUACCUUUAUUUAUUAGAUGUUCUUGAGAAUUGAAUACUAUUAAGGAGUAGUUCUUUAAUACGAAAGUAUAGUUGGAAAAACAUACAAAUUUUUGCCUUGAAUUCCUACGAUAUUUUGGGAAAAUUUAUUGUUGGCUACAGUGACACUUAUUUUGGGACAGAGGGAGUAUAUGUUACUUACAGUUUAAUUUUCAGCCAUUUGGCCAUUUAAAAACCCAAAAACAAAUAAAACCCCGAAUAUGUCUGAAUAGCAACUUUGUAACCAUUUGUGAAAUUUACCAACACUGAAUGCAAACUUUUAUCAUCCACAAUAGAACAUCUUACAUAUGACAAAGCAAAUCUGACUAUAAAUGGGACAACAUCAAACACAUAAAAUAAGUAAAUUUUGUGGCAACUUCCAAUUCAGUUUAAGUAUGACAUCAACACACUUUUAAAAAAGAAGUCGUACGUAAUACGCCACUGGGAAAACAGGUUGUAACUGAAGCUUAGCAGUUCCCUCAAAUUUUCCUUAAAGUUUAUGGGAUUGCCUAAUUUCUCGCACUGUUCAAUGAUCAUCCUCACAAGUUUUGGAGAAUGAGAAAAGAGGACUCUUAUUAAGUACAUUCCAGUACCUGAUCCCUUGAGUUUCCGCAACCUCACUGUUUGAAUCAAUCUCAUAGCUUCAUUCACAUGGUCUUUUUACAUUGAUAAGUAAGAUAACAGUUUCGUUCUCUGACUCAAUGUCUCAUCAAUCUGAAGACAAAGUCUCUUAAUAGUCAUCCUACAUUACCAAAGUUAAAGAUAUAAAGUGUAACAAUAAAACUUAAUGGCAAUAUGAAAGUUUUAAAGAUUUAGAAUAAAUAAAGAAAGGUGUUUAUACAUAGGACUGUCCUUAUUAGGUAUGGUAUGUCUUACCUUUACAACCUCGUCUAUUUCAAUUUCGUAAAAGUUAGGAGAAGUCCUAAGCAGGCAAACUACACAAGAAAAUACUUUCAACUGAAAUCUUAAAGUCACAAAUUUUCAGGCUUUGCAGUUUUAGUGACUGGCGAGACAUGUCUGGCACAUCAACCGAGCAAUGUGUCUGAAACAAAAGAUGCCAAAAAAUGAAAUUAUGGAGUGUUGGUUAAAACAGCUACGAAAAUAAAACGAGGCAGCAUAAUUUUGUUACCUCUAGGGAUGUUCCAUUCAAGAAAAGAUGCUUAAUGAUUCUAAAGAUUGGGUUCACAUUAAAACACUCAAAUGUAAUUUUAUAGCUGCUAAGGAUAGACAAGUUCUCAAGUACUUGGAGAAACCAAAUAAACGGAAUCAAUAGCAACACAAAAUCUCAACUCCAAAAUCUUGAGCAUUAACUGAUUAAGUGUUUUUUUUAAUCCUAUAGUACAGGCAAUUGCAGAAUCCUUGAACUGAAGACUAACAUGAUUGGGGAAUUGAGUACCAACAUGCUUAAGGAUACAUCUCGAUAGCUUCAAAUAUAUCAAUGUUUCACAAGUAAAUAUGCUAUCAGGCAACACAUACUUUUCAUCAUUGGCCAUAUCUAGAUUAAGCUUCUAGAUACCAUAAUUUGAGACAAAGAUGUCUAUCCCGGAGAGAAGAUGCAAUCCCAGAAUAUUUUCAGUAUGUUAAGCAUGAGAAUUUUAUGAAUUAUGCUAGCAGCAUAUAAGAUACGUACUUAAAAAACAGGGGAUCAAACACAAGAUUAGGUUGUGUAGACCAUAACAGCCUCUAAUGUUUUGAUAAGAUUCUAGCUCUUGCAGCGUAUUUGAUGGGCAUUAGCUCUAGUACUCUAUAUAGUGUGUCAGUUGGUAAUUCAGAAAUAAUAGAUAAGGGUCAACUAUAUGAUUCGUCAUUACAUUUUAUUUUUUUUUAUCUUCAAAAUUCGGGGAUCGUCACUACAUUUCACUGACUAUGAAAAGUUGAAAACAAAUAAUUACAGCCAUAAGAUUGUAGUUUAUCUGCUUUAGUCAUAUCCUACAUUGUUACAGUGAUGUGCUUUUUAUACGUCAGUGAGUUUGAAUAAAGGGUAUAUUGGUACUGGACUAAUGUAGUCGGUAACAGACCCUCUAAUAUAGAUAUUAACAGUAAGCGUGUUUGCACGUGAGUUAAUUCGUUAGAAGAACUGAUUGGGAUGAAGAAUCAGUCGUAUAUGCUCUUCACUAGUGGAAGAUCAAGAAAUAGCAUCCAUCUCGGUCAUAUACCGACCUUUCAAAAUUCAUAUUCAUAAGUUGACAACAGAUAGUAGUAUAAAGUAUAAAGUUGCCAGUAGAAUGAAAGGAACGAUGUGUUUUAUUGAUUGUAAACUAAGUAUAUAUAGAUUCUGUACAACUUCUACAGCAAAGAGAUAAACUAAGAAAAAGGUAAGACUUAUCUAUAACCUAUAUAUAAGGAGGAAGUUACAACAGAGUCCUAAAGAGAAGACACUACUAAAUCUGAUCCGUUAUUAAGUAGCAGUACUAACUCAAGUCUGCAGGUCAAAGCAAUAUCAUACAUCUUGGUGCCAUACCGACCUUUCAGAAUUCAUAUUCUCAAGUUGACAGCAAAUAUGAGCAGCAACAACUCAAGUCUGCAGGUCAAAGCAAUAACAUCCAUCUCGGUGAUAUACCGACUUUUCAGAAUUCAUAUUCUCAUGUUGUAGCAACUCUUGAGAAACUUGCUCCAUCAGGGCCGGUCACAUCAACAGCCUUAGUACGACCAUCACUGCCAGACUCAACCUCGAACUCAACUAUAUUACCAUCAAAUAGGCUAUGGAAACACUUAGAUCUGAUACCAGAAUAGUGAAUGAAGAGAUCGUCACUAAGCCACUUGACGGUUCCCCUAGCCAUCUGUCCACUCUCACCUGCCAUUCUCACUAACAAAAAGAAACCCUAAAAACCCAUUGUGUGUCUCCUUUGGAAUUAUCACCGUGACAAGAAAAUAAUCUAAUAUAGUCGUUGGUCAUUUUACUUAUAUUAGAUUGUUUUCUUGUAACGGUGACAAUUCCAAAGGAAACACACAAAGGGUUUUUAGUGUUUCUCUUUGUUAGUGAGAAUGGAGGGUGAGAGUGGACAGAGGGAUAAUGGAAUCGUGAAGUGGUUCAGUGAGGAUCUCUUCAUUCACUAGUCUGGUAUCAGAUCUGAGGGUUUCCGUAGCCUAUUUGAUGGCGACACAGUUGAGUUCUAGAUUGGGUUCGGCAGUGAUGGUCGUACUAAGGCUGUUGAUGUGACCGGCCCUGAUGGAGCGAGUUUCUUUGAAGUUGCUACAACAUGAGAAUGUGAAUUCUAGAAGGUCGGUAUAUCACCGAGAUGGAUGUUAUUGCCUUACCUGCGGACUUGAGUUGCUGCUGCUCAUAUCUUCUGUCAACUUGAGAAUAUGAAUUAUGAAAGCUUGCUAUAUCACCAAGAUGGAUGAUAUUAAUUUGACCUGCAGACUUGAGUUAGUGUUGCUCCUAUCUGUUGUCAACUUAAGAAUAUGAAUUAUGAAAGGUCGGUACGGAGAUAGAUGUUUUUCUUGAACUUACACUGGUGGAGAGCAUAUACCACUGAUUCAAUUCACCCCAAUCAAUUCUUCUAACGAAUUAACUCUGGUGCAAGCAUACUUACUGUUAAUAUAUAUCUAUAUUAGAGCAUUUGUUACAAACUGCAAAAUUAGUCCAGUGACCAAUAUACUCUUUAUUCAAAAUCACUUACGUGACGGGAUUCUUAAUUGCUCCAGUAUCACUAGCUAGCAAGUAAUCCUCAUUCUCCAGCUUGGUGUAGUUCUUGAAGGUGUGCACUUCCCUUUAAUUGUGUGUACACUCUGAAACAACACAUACUAGUAGGCAUCAUCGUCCUCAGCUAUCAGAGAUCAUUAUCGUCCUUAGUUAGGGAACAUCACUGAAUUCCUAUAACUAGACUAUGCCAAGUGGCAUAGCAAGAGUAGUAUCAGUUCAAACAACGCAUACUAGUAGGCAUUAUCGGUCGACCCGAACCUACUACAUAAUAUGAAGUAGACAUUCAGAAGGGAACAUACUGUAACAUCCGACAAUUUGAAAUAGCUAAGAAGAGGCUUAGAAUUUGAAAAUUUUCAUUUUUGGAAAGGAUUUGAAAAUCUGGAAAAUUGGCUAAGUGUGGAAAUCAGUGAUUUUUGGCCAACUUUGAGCAGUCAUAACUUCCAGCUCAGGAUGAGUUAGGAGUAGUUCCAGUUAUGGUUGUGAAGCUUGUGUAAUGAUCUUUCCAACUCCGCCGAGUUUGCUCAAUUCCGAAUUCGUAUGAGCGAGUUAUGGCCCUUUGAAAGUUGGGAAGUUGACAAGAAAAUCCGUCCGGGAAUCAUCAAGGGCAUUUUGAUCUUUUCCCUAGCUAAUUCUUUUGAGGAUAUAUUGUUGUAUAGGGCUGAUCUUUGGAUCAUUUUGUUCCAUUUUAAGAGAGUGAAGGCUAGGGCUUGAGAAGAAGAAGAGAAGAAGAAGAGAAGAAGAAGAGAAGAAGAAGAGAAGAAGAAGAGAAGAAGAAGAGAAGAAGAAGAGAAGAAGAAGAGAAGAAGAAGAGAAGAAGAAGAGAAGAAGAAGAGAAGAAGAAGAGAAGAAGAAGAGAAGAAGAAGAGAAGAAGAAGAGAAGAAGAAGAGAAGAAGAAGAGAAGAAGAAGAGAAGAAGAAGAGAAGAAGAAGAGAAGAAGAAGAGAAGAAGAAGAGAAGAAGAAGAGAAGAAGAAGAGAAGAAGAGGAGAAGAAGAAGAGGAAAAAUCGAGGAGAUCAUCGUGGAUUUUCGUCGGAGGUGAUCCCUACCAAGGUAUGUGAGCUUUUAGUGUUGGGUGAUCCUUUCCCCCACACACCUAGCCCCUUUUACUUAUUAAGGAAGGAUUGGCUUUGUUGUUAGUUGUUGUGGUUGAAGUUGUUGGAGUUGUUAAAGUUGUUAGUUGUUGUUGUUGGAAUUAUUGUUGGUUGUGGGACAUGAUUGGAUGGUGUUUUUGAGUGGUAUUCUAUUGAAUGUUGAGGGAUUUUAUGUUCUAAGUGAUUGGAGGAUGAAACCCUUGAAGUUGGAGGGUUUAGAGUUGGUAACGUGAAGGGAAAGUCGGGAAGCUUGCGAGGAGCAUGUCCGCGUCGCGGACUUGUUCCCUCUGUGAANNNNNNNNNNNNNNNNNNNNNNNNNNNNNNNNNNNNNNNNNNNNNNNNNNNNNNNNNNNNNNNNNNNNNNNNNNNNNNNNNNNNNNNNNNNNNNNNNNNNNNNNNNNNNNNNNNNNNNNNNNNNNNNNNNNNNNNNNNNNNNNNNNNNNNNNNNNNNNNNNNNNNNNNNNNNNNNNNNNNNNNNNNNNNNNNNNNNNNNNNNNNNNNNNNNNNNNNNNNNNNNNNNNNNNNNNNNNNNNNNNNNNNNNNNNNNNNNNNNNNNNNNNNNNNNNNNNNNNNNNNNNNNNNNNNNNNNNNNNNNNNNNNNNNNNNNNNNNNNNNNNNNNNNNNNNNNNNNNNNNNNNNNNNNNNNNNNNNNNNNNNNNNNNNNNNNNNNNNNNNNNNNNNNNNNNNNNNNNNNNNNNNNNNNNNNNNNNNNNNNNNNNNNNNNNNNNNNNNNNNNNNNNNNNNNNNNNNNNNNNNNNNNNNNNNNNNNNNNNNNNNNNNNNNNNNNNNNNNNNNNNNNNNNNNNNNNNNNNNNNNNNNNNNNNNNNNNNNNNNNNNNNNNNNNNNNNNNNNNNNNNNNNNNNNNNNNNNNNNNNNNNNNNNNNNNNNNNNNNNNNNNNNNNNNNNNNNNNNNNNNNNNNNNNNNNNNNNNNNNNNNNNNNNNNNNNNNNNNNNNNNNNNNNNNNNNNNNNNNNNNNNNNNNNNNNNNNNNNNNNNNNNNNNNNNNNNNNNNNNNNNNNNNNNNNNNNNNNNNNNNNNNNNNNNNNNNNNNNNNNNNNNNNNNNNNNNNNNNNNNNNNNNNNNNNNNNNNNNNNNNNNNNNNNNNNNNNNNNNNNNNNNNNNNNNNNNNNNNNNNNNNNNNNNNNNNNNNNNNNNNNNNNNNNNNNNNNNNNNNNNNNNNNNNNNNNNNNNNNNNNNNNNNNNNNNNNNNNNNNNNNNNNNNNNNNNNNNNNNNNNNNNNNNNNNNNNNNNNNNNNNNNNNNNNNNNNNNNNNNNNNNNNNNNNNNNNNNNNNNNNNNNNNNNNNNNNNNNNNNNNNNNNNNNNNNNNNNNNNNNNNNNNNNNNNNNNNNNNNNNNNNNNNNNNNNNNNNNNNNNNNNNNNNNNNNNNNNNNNNNNNNNNNNNNNNNNNNNNNNNCUAUGUAUAUAUGUAAAUAUUCUAUUUUGAGACUUGAGUUGCCUUUUUGGCCAGAUAUGUAUCAGUUAAGUUGUUUAUGUCUUUGCAUGGCAUUGAGUUUUCUGUUGAGUCAGGUUUCCGCUGAGUUAAGAAAGCCAGGCCAAGGGUUCGCUUGGAGCCAGUAAUGGUCUCCGAGUGCCGGUCCCGCCCAGGGUGUAGGCUCGGGGCGUGGCACAUACAGUAUAAAAGUUACACUACCCCAAGUUUCUAUCCACAUGCUUUCACCAUCCUAGGUGUAAUACCCAUAAACUAGAAUGCUUUGAACCCAACCAACUACCUCAUUCCACUGUCAACUCAAAUAUUUAAACAUUCGACCCUCUUGUCAUUCUAUGGUUUCCCAAGUCUACAUAUUAGGUCACCAUAAUUUCAAAUCAUAGGCUAACCCUUCUAUCACAUUAAUAUCCACAAAUAUAAGACCACCAUAAUGCAAAAUAAUAGCCUAACCCUUCUACCAUAUUAAUAUUUACGAAUAUCAGGUCAUCACUAGCCCUAUCAACCAACUUACUGGUCCUUCUCAAUUUCUCAUGCCAACUCCCUGACCCUUUUGGAAUAGUACAUAAAACUAACACCUUAGACAAACUCAUCCAUCUUGACUCACAUCCCCAUAUCAUAAAAGUUCUAAAAACACUGGACAACCAUAACCAGUCCCAAAAGAUGUUUCUGAAACAAAAAAUGCCAAAAAAUGAAAUUAUGGAGUGUUGGUUACAACAGCUACGAAAAUAAAACGAGGCAGCAUAAUUUUCUUACCUCUAGGGAUGUUCCAUUCAAACAAAGAUGCUUAAUGAUUCUAAAGAUUGGGUUCACAUUAAAACACUCAAAUGUAAUUUUACAGCUGCUAAGGAUAGACAAAUUCUCAAUUAUUGGAGAAACCAAAUAACGGAAUCACUAUCAACACAAAAUCUCAACUCCAAAGUCUCGAGCAUUAACUGAUUAACUGUUCUUUUUUUAAUCCUAUAGUACAGGCAAUUGCAGAAUCUUCUAACUGAAGGCUAACAUGAUUGGGCAAUUGAGUACCAACAUGCAACUUAAAGAUACACCUUGAUAGCUUCACAUAUGUCAAUGUUUCACAGGUAAAUAUGCUAUGAGGCAACACAUAUUUUUCAUCAUUGGCCAUAUCUAGAUUAGUCUUCUAGAUACCAUGAUUUGAGACAAAGGUGUCUAUCCCGGAGAGAAAAUGCAAUCCCAGAAUAUUUCCAGUAUGUUAAGCAUGAGAAUUUUAUAAACUAUGCUAGCAACGUAUAAGAUAUGUACUUAAAAAAACAGGGGAUCAAACACAAGAUUAGGUAUUGAUAAGAUUCUAGCUCUUGCAGCGUAUUUGAUGGGCAUUAGCUCUAGUACUCUAUAUAGUGUGUCUGUUGGUAAUUCAGAAAUAAUAGAUAAGGGUCAACUAUAUUAUUCGUCACUACAUUUUUUUUCUUUGAUUUUCGAAAUUCGGGUAUCGUCACUACAUUUCACUGACUAUGAAAAGUUGAAAACAAAUAAUUACAGCCAUAAGAUUGUAAUUUAUCUGCUUCAGUCAUAUCCUAUAUUGUUACAGUGAUGUGCUUUUCAUACGUUAGUGAGUUUGAAUAAAGGGUAUAGUGGUGCUGGACUAAUGUAGCAGUUGGUAACAAACCCUCUAAUAUAGAUAUUAACAGUAAGCCUUUUUGUACCUGAGUUAAUUUGUUAGAAGAAUUGAUUGGGAUGAAGAAUCAGUUGUAUAUGCUCUUCACUAGUGGAAGAUCAAGAAAUAGCAUCAAUCUCGGUGAUAUACCAACCUUUCAGAAUUCAUAUUCAUAAGUUGACAACAGAUAGGAGCAGCACUAACUCAAGUCUGCAGGUCAAAGCAAUAUCAUACAUCUUGGUGCUAUACUGACCUUUCAGAAUUCAUAUUCUCAAGUUGACAGCAGAUAUGAGCAGCAGCAACUCAAGUCUGCAGGUCAAAGCAAUAACAUCCAUCUCGGUGAUAUACCGACUUUUCAGAAUUCAUAUUCUCAUGUUGUAGCAACUUCUGAGAAACUUGCUCCAUCAGAGCCAGUCACAUCAACAACCUUAGUACGACCAUCACUGCCAGACUCAACCUCGAACUCAACUAUCUCGCCAUCAAAUAGGCUAUGGAAACACUUAGAUCUGAUACCAGACUAGUGAAUGAAGAGAUCGACACUAAGCCACUUGACGGUUCCCUUAGCCCUCUGUCCAAUCUCACCCGCCAUUCUCAUCACUAACAAACAGAAACCCUAAAAACCCAUUGUGUGGUUCCUUUAGAAUUGUCACCGUUACAAGAAAACAAUGUAAUAUAAGUAAAAUGACCAACGACUAUAUUAGAUUAUUUUUUUGUCACGGUGACAAUUCCAAAGGAAACACACAAAGGGUUUUUAGGGUUUCUCUUUGUUAGUGAGAAUGGCGGAUGAGAGUGGACAGAGGGCUAAGGGAACCGUGAAGUGGAUCAGUGAGGAUCUCUUCAUUCACUAGUCUGGUAUCAGAUCUGAGGGUUUCUGUAGCCUAUUUGAUGGCGCCAUAGUUGAGCUCAAGAUUGAGUUCGGCAGUGAUGGUCGUACUAAGGCUGUUGAUGUGACCGGCCCUGAUGGAGCGAGUUUCUUAGGAGGUGCUACAACAUGAGAAUGUGAAUUCUAGAAGGUCGGGUAUAUCACCGAGAUGGAUGUUAUUGCCUUACCUGCAGACUUGAGUUGCUGCUGCUCAUAUCUCCUGUCAACUUGAGAAUAUGAAUUAUGAAAGCUCGCUAUAUCACAAAUUAAGAUGGAUGAUAUUGCUUUGACCUGCAGACUUGAGUUAGUGCUGCUCCUAUCUAUUGUGAACUUAAGAAUAUGAAUUAUGAAAGGUCGGUACCGAGAUGGAUGAUUUUCUUGAUCUUACACUGGUAGAGAGAAUAUAUGACUGAUUCCUCAUCCCAAUCAAUUCUUCUAACGAAUUAAUUUUGGUGCAAGCAUGCUUACUGUUAAUAUCUAUAUUAGAGCAUCUGUUACAAAUUGCUACAUUAGUCCAGUGACCAAUAUACUCUUUAUUCAUACUCAGUUAUGUGACGGGAUUCUUAACUGCUCCAGUAUCACUAGCUGGCAACUAAUCCAUUCUCCAGCUUGUUGUAGUUCUUGAAGGAGUGCACUUCCCUUCAAUUGUGUGUACACUCUAAAACAACACAUACUAGUAGGCAUCAUCGUCCUCAGCUAUAAGAGAUCAUUAUCGUCCUUAGAUAUGGAACAUCACUAAAUUCCUAUAACCAGAUUAUGCCAAGUAGCAUAGCAAGAGUAGUAUCAGUACAAACAACGCAUACUAGUAGGCAUCAUCGGUCGACCCGAACCUACUACAUAAUAUGAAGUAGACAUUCAGAAGGGAACAUACAAUAUGAAAGUUACACCACCCCAAGUCUCUAUCCACAUGCUUUCACCAUCCUAGGUAUAAUACCCAUAAACUAGUACACUUUGAACUCAACCUCCUACCUCAUUCGACUGUCAACUCUAAUAUUUAAGCGUUUGACCCUCUUGUCAUUCUAUGGCUUCCCAAGUCUGCAUAUUAGGUCACCAUAAUGUCAAAUCAUAGUCUAACCCUUCUAUCACAUUAAUAUCCACAAAUAUAAGACCACCAUAAUGCAAAAUAAUAGCCUGACACUUCUACCAUAUUAAUAUUUACAAAUAUCAGGUCAUCACUAGCCCUAUUAACCAACUUACUGGUCCUUCUCAAUUUCUCACGCCAACUCCCUGACCCUUUUGGAAUAGUACAUUAAACUAACACCUUAGACAAACUCAUCCAUCUUGACUCACAUCCCCAUUAUCAUAUAAGUUCUAAAACACUGGACAACUAUAACCAGUCCCAAAAGAUGUUUCUGAAACAAAAGAUGCCAAAAAAUGAAAUUAUGGAAUGUUGGUUACAACAACUAUGAAAAUAAAACGAGGCAGCAUAAUUUUUACCUCUAGGGAUGUUCCAUUCAAGCAAAGAUGCUUAAUGAUUCUAAAGAUUGGGUUCACAUUAAAACACUCAAAUGUAAUUUUAUAGCUUCUAAGGAUGGGCAAGUUCUCAAUUAUUGGAGAAACCAAAUAACAGAAUCAAUAUCAAAACAAAAUCUCAACUCCAAAGUCUCGAGCAUUAACUGAUUAACUGUUUUUUUAAUCCUAUAGUACAGGCAAUUGCAGAAUCCUCUAACUGAAGCCUAAAAUGAUUAGGGAAUUGAGUACCAACAGGCAGCUUAAAGAUACAUCUCGAUAGCUUCAAAUAUGUUAACGUUUCACAAGUAAAUAUGUUAUCAGGCAACACAUAUUUUUCAUCAUUGGCCAUAUAUAAAUUAAGCUUCUAGAUACCAUGAUUUGAGAUAAAGAUGUCUAACCCAGAGAGAAGAUGCACUCCAAAAUUAUUUCCAGUAUGUUAAGCAUGAGAAUUUUAUGAAUUAUUCUAGCAGCUAGAAUCCUCAAUAUAAGAUACGUACUUAAAAAAACAGGGGAUCAGACAUAACAUUAGGUUGUGUAAACCAUAACAGCCUCCAAUGUUUGAUAAGUCUAGCACUUGCAGCGUAUUUGAUGGGUAUUAGCUCUAGUACUCUAUAUAGUGUGUCAGUUGGUAAUUCAGAUAUAAUAGAUAAGGGUCAACUAUAUGAUUCGUCACUACUUUUGUUUUCUUUGAUCUUCGAAAUUCGGGGAUUGUCAUUACAUUUCACUGACUAUGAAAAGUUGAAAACAAAUAAUUACAGCCAUAAGAUUUGAUAAGAACUUAUGCUUUUUGGUGUUUUGAUGAUCUCCUUACAAGUGCAGGGACCUGGUCCUCUGCAGAGUAUGAAUACUCGUCCAGUGGUCAAAGUGUUGUACAGCUGGAAAGCUGUCUGCGUCAGAAGGUUGGUGAAGCUGCAGAGUACUCCACCAAUCAGAAGCGACGAGGUUGCUUGUUCAUUGGAUAAUAAAUUUUCUUGUCUAAAUAUAUCCAAGGAAAAAUAACAAACUAAUUCAUUCAUUCAAAAGGAGAGAGAGCCAACACGUCUUCUCAAGAACUUACUAAGAAAAGUCUGUAAGGGACCUGGUCCCUGCAAGAUUGCGUACGUGAAAGGACGACAGUACAUCUGUAAAGUUGUCACUUCUGAUGUGGCAGGUGCACGUCUUUACAGAGAAGGCAGGCUCUUAGCCAAUGGGCUGUCCCAAGGAGUUUGUGUUCAUUUUCAUUAUAUUAUCUCUUCCCAAAAUACACAAACUCAAGAUUUUGGCAAACAAAAACUCACAAGCUUAAAAGGAAAAGCCAUCUUCAAGGUAGAACAAUACUUACACUCAACAAAAGGAUUUGAUAAAGGGAUGAAGCAUCUUUGUUGAGUUUGAGUUUUGUGUCUAUCAUUUUAUAGGUUUUUGCAUUUUGAAACUUAUCAAGUAUACAAGCAAAGACCAUUUUGGUGAAGUAUUCUCCAGCAAGCACAACAAGGACCUGAUCAAGCUGCAUGCAUCUAAGUGUGUCUUAGGAGUUAUACUUUCGUGCAUAUAUUGUAAAUCUUUUCCUAGUCUAUAAAGGAUUCAUAUAUUUGUUUCUGUGUGGAAAGGUCUAAGUCGGUUAGAGUUAGCCGAUUUAGUGAGCAGUGUUGUAUCUGCUCAGUCAAAAGUCUAAGUCAUCUAGGAGCUAGUUGAUUUAGUGGGCGAUGUGGUAUCCGCUUAGCAAAGUCUAAGUUAUCUAGGGGUGAUAGCUUAGUGGGCAGUGUUGUAUCUUUUUAGGCUCGUCUAAGUAAUAUGAUAUAUUGCUUAGUGUGGAGAUUAGUAGGUUAAUCUCAUUUUGUAAACUGGCUUUUACUUUUGCUUUGAGAAGAUUAGUGGAAGCAGUUUGAAAAGUCCUGGUAGGCCAGGUCGUGGUUUUACUCCCUUGAGCAAGGAGGUUUCUAUGUAAAAUUGUUGUGCAAUCUUUACUUUCAGCACUUUGUUUAUUUUCUGCUAUUGUAACUGUGUUGAGGACCUGGUCCCAUCUAACAAAGUAAACAUUCAAGUUUUGUUUAAGGUCAGAAAGAGUUACCUCUUCCUCAACUUCUUCAUCAUCAGAUUUUUCCAUGAAAGCAAACAUGGCAUCAAAAACAUCUUCAUCAUCUUUAACUGCAAGCAUGGAAGCAUCUUCAGGAUGUUCUGACUCUUCUGAGUCACUUGAGGAAUCACCCCAGACAGCAAGAGUUUUCUUCACAACAUUGUCAGCAACAACUUUUCUUCCUUUCUUAUCAGGGAUCGGGUCCCUUCUCCUGUCCUUAUCUCCUACGGGCCUUGGGUGGUCUUUGUGUUCGACCUUGAGCAUAGGGAAGUCUCUGAUGAAAUGCCCUGGCUUUCCUCAAUUUCUCACGCCAACUCCCUGAUCCUUUUGGAAUAGUACAUGAAUCUAGCACCUUAGACAAACUCAUCCAUCUUGACUCACAUCCCAUUAUCAUAUAAGUUCUAAAAAAACUGGACAACCAUAACCAGUCCCAACACUUAAACCAUACACCAGACCCCGAUCAUCUGCCUAACUUAACAACCACCAUUUUAAUAAACCAACAACAUCAUGAUAAAUAGAACCACAAUUUACAAACAACUAAAGAAUUGAGUCCCCAUAAACUCAACCCAGUAAUUAAAACAAUUAUAAUCACAAGUAUAACAUAGUUCAGACUCCCAGUCCGCACCUUGGAUUCAUAUGCACGACCCGCAAUACCAUAAACACAUGCCAAUCACAUGUAACAACUAUCACGAAUGCAUAGACUUGCAGUCACAAUAUCUUGAAAUCAACCAAUACCUAGAAUCAACCAUUGCAUUAAACAUGUCACACAUGAGCACAAAUGCAAAUACAUGGUCAUCCCAUGGAACCAUAACACAUAUACUUGGUCCUCUCUGUUAUACCCCAUUUUAACUCACGUCAAAUAGUGUACAACAUAUUGGUGAUUCCUAAAUUAAUUAACUUAAGGAGCUGCCACCUAAUUAUUUUUAAGGUAAAUUAGGACGCCUAAAUAUUUAACUAAUGUAAUGCUAAAGUUGAAUCCAACUAAUGGCCUACUUAACUUAUGUGAUUUUAGGUAAGAGUUCUAGUUAUCAUAAAAAAAAGAGGUUAAGCAUCCUUAAGAUUCGUUAAAAAUGAUUACCGACCAAACUUAGGUUAAUUAUUUAAACUACAGAUUGAGUUCUAAGAAAUUAGUCAAAGAAUUACGUUGGAAAAACACGUCAAUCUUAAAUCAAUUAGCAUACUUGAAACUUGAAAACUCUUUGCAUUUGAAGCAGAACAACAAAGACUUAAAAAUUGAAACUUGAAAACUCUUUGCAUUUGAAGCAGAACAACAAAGACUUAAAAAUUGAAACUUGAAAACUCUUUGCAUUUGAAGCAGAACAACAAAGACUUAAAAAUUGAAACUUGAAAACUCUUUGCAUUUGAAGCAGAACAACAAAGACUUAAAAAUUGAAACUUGAAAACUCUUUGCAUUUGAAGCAGAACAACAAAGACUUAAAAAUUGAAACUUGAAAACUCUUUGCAUUUGAAGCAGAACAACAAAGACUUAAAAAAAAAGAUUUGUUGCAACUAAAAAGAAAGACUCGUUGCUUUAGAACUCUUAUUUUUGUUUCAAAAGAAAUCUAAGUAGCAAAAACAUGAAUAAGACCAACUCCUGGAUACUUUAACUUGGACAUUGCCAUAUCUGAAGAAAAUUUCAAAUGCUCUUCGUGUGAAAGAGAUAAAAAAGAUUCUUUAAGAAAAUGAUUUCAAACUCUAUUUAAAAUGUUCGCAAGUCAAGUUAUAUACAAUUAGAUUUAUAAAACGACUCAAAAAAAAACUAAGACGGAUAAGCUAAUAUAAUCUUAAAAAAUAUUCGCUGAAAUAAUACUAAUUACCCCCCUCUAAAGGCCAAGUGUCUAAGACGGAUAAUCUAAUAUAACGUAAAACAAACAAUCACAUGAGAAAAGAAAAUGAUUAAUUAACCUUAGAGCGAGCUAACAAUGAUCAGGUUGAUCCUUCUUCUCCCUUAUUUUUUUUAUUGCUUCAACUCGGAUGCUUUUCAAGAGGGGGAGAACUGAAUGAGGAGAUAGGCGCGGAUUCCAAAUAUAGCGACAAUAUCGAGUCUCACAAGGAGACUUCUCGUGGCAUCAUGAGUCUUUUAUAAAGACUCCAUUUUCUCCUGUUCAUGCAAAUAAAGAGAGUAAGAAGAGAUUAGUAAGAUGAUUCAACUUUAUACAAUAUCAAAUAAAUAAAAAAAUAGAGCCAAAUAACAUCAUACGACGAAUACACUAUCCAAAACAAUAAAUGUCGAACGAGACACGUCUUGCAACUGGCUACUUUGAACCGAACUCAAAAUUGAUUUAGAUUAUAACAUCUUUCUUAAGCAUAAGACAAACUCAAAUCUCAUCAUAUUUAAGCUAUAACUUCCUAAAGGUUCAAGUGAAAACUUAAGCCAUAAUCCUUCAAAUUUUAUAUAUGCCAUUACUUCAAACACAGAAGAAACGUAUACAUAUAACUCCAAUACAUAUCAUAUCAUCAUAUAUCAUAUAUUAUCAAGAGUGAGAAGCUCCUAACCUCAAAGUUAGAUUACCAUUUUAUCCCUAUACUAUAUUAAAAUAUUACAAAAUAUAAUAAUUAAUUAAAUAGUGUUAAAGAAUGACAAAAGUCCCACAUCGGUGGUUAAUGAGAUGGGUGGACUCCUUAUAAGGCUUGGGCAAUCCUCCUCCCUUUGAGCUAGCUUUUGGGGUGUGAGUUAGGCCCAAGACCUAAUUUAACAUGGUAUUAGAGCAAGGUUCCGUCUCACCCGAUGUUGGGACCCCAAAAUCAAAAAUUGUCCACGCACUAGAUGCUAAGCACUGGGCGUGAGGUGGGGUGUUAAAGAAUGACAAAAGUCCCACAUCGGUGGUUAAUGAGAUGGGUGGACUCCUUAUAAGGCUUGGGCAAUUCUCUUUCCUUUGAGCUAGCUUUUGGGGUGUGAGUUACGCCCAAGACCUAAUUUAACAAAUAGUAAAUAAUGAAAGUCAUUUUUUCCACCUUUUCCUAUUUAAUUACGGUUUUUCACAUAAUUACUCUAUUAGUAUUGUGUACAAAUAAUAGAGAAUUGAAAAGGCAUCAUGAACUUUCAAUUUAGAAUUCAUGCUUUCUUUCUCCAUCAUCAAUAUCAUAUUUAUCUUAUAAUUAUAUUAUUGUACUCCAUAUGAUAAAUAAUUAUGAUCAUGAACUUUUGCUCGCUAAUUGGUCUCGCUAUUUCAUUCCUAGUUCUCUCUUUCAAGCUUCUUUCCAUCAUGGGGAUUUCUUCUCAUUCCGUCCGUUCUGCUAGCUGGUGUCGCCCUCUCUCUUACUUAUCUAUUCCCAUCCAUCUUCACCUCUCCAACUCCACUACUCCUUCAAGGCACGAUUAAUGUGCCUCAAACCUCUCUCUUGAGAAAGAGCAUUUUUUAAUGGAGCCUUAGCACGUGAACCCAUAGGAACAGGGCCUUCUUCUUUGCAGAAAAGCUUCUGAAUUAUCAUCACAUCAGUAGGCGCAGAAAGCAAAUCUUGGUACUGACUUAUUAAAAAUCUCAAAGAGAUUGCUUAGACAAAUCUUUUUGUGUGAGGCUGUUGUUUCCCACCUUUCUUACCUUGUUUUUUGGGCUUCAAAUUCUGUGACUCAUAAGCCCUCCAUAUCUAAAGAUAGAUGGCUAAAGGGCGGGUUUCACAGUUAACUAAAAAGGCGAUCGAUUGGCUUGGAAAGGAAAGGAAACCCUUCAUUUCCAAGCUUUAUUAUUUCUAUCUUAAUUUUUCCAUCUGGGCGCCUAUUCAUUCUUUUUGGGGUGUAUAAAGCCACAGAGCGAUUCAGGCAUCUAUCGUAUUGUAUUGACGCAAUUUGAAGAUCAGGAUUUCUCCCUACCGCUCAAGCGAGAUCAGAUUGGGCUUUAGCGAGAACAACUGUAAUUGAAUCAAGAAUGGAAAGACUUCGCUUCAACUCAAUAAAUGAUGUCAACUUUGUAAGUGCUAAGGCAAAAUAUAUCACCGAAAGGAAAUGUGAUAGGGAUCCUAGCCAGUUCACUCUACCUGAGCAAUAAAGUGGAAACCCCCCUCACGAUCGAUUAAAAGGAAAGCCACAUAGUCCACCGCGUCUUUCAUUGCAUUGCAUUUGUCGGGAUUGAAACCCCUUUCUUGAGCGUUCUCCUUCGCUCGUUGGCAAAACGCCUAUGCAUGCGUCUAGUUUGUUGGGGUGUUCACCUUUCACAUACCCAAGCCGUUAUAUUUUGUGUGGUGAAAAAUACGAUCCUUUCAUCCCUAUAAAUACACAAACUUAAACCUCAAUCACUCCACCCAUUUGGAAAAAAAAAAUCACUUCUACACUCAUAUGUUGACUCAUUGUUGUUCUACAAAAUUUUCUGAUGGCUAUAGUUGAUCACUUUCUUACAACAAUCUUAAUUAUUGUAGUGUUGUUAAACUUCGGCUCAAGAGUUUUACCAAAAAAAAGGCAAUUGAGAUUUAUUUAGAAUUUUGGGAGAUUUUCUAUUGUAAUUGAGAGUUAUUCUUUUGGCAAGAGCCUUCUUUGUUAUAUGAUUAAAUAAUCCUAUGUAUUAGUUGAAAUUUAUUUCUUGGCACUAGGUAGCAUACAUUUUUUAUGGUAUAAGUUGUUGAGUUUAAAAGUAAUUAUAUCCUUUAUAUUAAGCAUUGUAUUUGAUUACUCCAAAAGAAAAAAAUUAUGUAUUAGAAAAAGUAAACAAUUAAAAAUAAGACUUAUUAUUUUUUUGUUAGAGUAACCAAUAUUCUUAUCAUAAGAACUAAUAAAUAUAUGUAUUGUAUCGAGGCACUUCAUUACUUUCUUCUUCGUAUUUCUUUUCAAUUUUUAAUUUAUCAUGUGAUUUUUGCUACCUAUAUUGUAAAUUGUUUACUUUUUCUUUCUGUCACGACCCAAAAAUGGACAUGAUGACACUUGUCUAUUCUCACCAAGACAAGUCAGCCUCAACCCAAAAGAAAAUGAAAGAAAUGCGGAAAUACAAUAUAAUAGAACAAGAUAAAGGCAGAAAACUUAUUCAUUCUAAUCAAUUUCCCAAAACCUGGUUGUCACGUGUACAAGUCAUUAAAUACAUAAGAGCGGAAUUAAAAAAUAAAUACAAGUCACAGUCUUUGUUUCUCAAUUAAAAAAGAUCAAGAGAAAGGAUGACAAACAAUUACCUCUCAAAUCCUUCACGAGCCUCGACUAUCAGGAGAAAGAGAAGAAGAUCACACGGGUCCGGGCUCGAAACCUACACAAGUGUUAGCUAUAAGAAGGUAGAUCUCAAAGAUGUUUAAUUUCCACCCGAUGCAUCCUAUCAAUACAAUGAUGUAUUUUAUAUCUAAAAUUCAAAAUAAAUAUUUACAAAAGAUGUAUCAAUUAUCUGUUUCUUUAAUUCUUAACUCAAACACAAACAAAAUAGAACCAACAUUUUACGAAAACAUAAAUGUGAAAAUUACUGACAUUUUGUAGGGCAGCUAACUAAGGCGUCAACUUCGACUUCUCGAAUCUAUUAUCUACAAGUCACAACCUCUUCCAAGACCCAAAGACAUACAAAAAACAACGAGAAGUUUUACCCCGUUGAGAACAACAGGGAUAAACAAACCACAAGGCAGAAGGUGUUUGCAAGAGUAAGCAAGAAAAAAGAAUGAACAAUAAUUUUAAGGGUGCAAAGGCGGCGGCUUCCAAAGCUUCUUGAGGAUAAAGUUUAACCAAGUAUUUAUAGGUAGAAAUUAGGGUUUCUUGAGCAUAAAUUUGAUUUUCAGAUUUUGAAAUUGGUCAAAGAAAUCAAACGUUGGGGUGAACUGUAUGUUCACGUGAUUGAGAAGACAGUAGCAUAGAAAUGGAGUAUCUACCCUUUGUCUAUAGUUGGUGAAAACUUGUUGCUUUCUGAAAAUAGGAUAGAAGAGUAGAAGGCAGGGUUGUGGUUGCACUGGGUCUUGAAACCCUACUAAUUUAAAACAUGGUGGGGUAUUUAAUGUUUUGGGCUUGAAUUAGUUGAUUUGGGCUCGUUUUGAGAGUAUAAUAUGGGUUGCUGAUGUGUUAAGAGAUUUAAUUGGAUGUGAGAUAUAAGCUAGUUUGGUUGAUAGUCUUUUACUUCUUUAAACUAUGUUUUUGAUCUUCUAAUUUAAUAACUAGUGUAAUAUAUAAUUAAUACAUAAAAAUAAAGUACUAACUAUACAAUUUUUUUGUUAAUGAUUUAAAAAAAAAAAUUGAUGUAUAACUAAUUUGAUAACGACUAAAAAGUUUAAAAGAUAGCUUUAUUAUUAUUUUCUGAAAGAAAAUGUAACGACGACGACAACAACAACAACAACAACAACACCACCACCAAUAACAACAACAACAAUAGCGACAACAACAACAACGACAACGACAACAACAACAAUGACAACAACAACAACAAUGAUGAUAACAACAACAACAACAACAACAACACCACCACCACCACCACGAACAAUAGCAACAACAGCAACACCAUCACCACCAACAACAACAACAAGUCGUAAAAUGUAUUCGUUGAUAACUUUGCAAGGACUCAAACUUUUCAACUUUUCCAAGGCUCUUCCAUGGCUGCCCUCCUACGAACCAUGAGACCUUGUACCGUUUGUAGGUAGGCUCGUACAACAUGCACCAACAACUCUUUCGUAUUUUUUCUUUCCAACUCAACUUACCAACUUUCGAGGUGUUACAAUAACCCAUUUGCAAAGAAUUUUUAAUUGGGUUCUAUUUAAUCUUCAAUUUCAACCCAGACUCUUUAUUUGUAUUGGCUUAAUAUAUAUUCCCAUAUUUAGUAUGAAUUAUAAUCUAUUUUAUAUGGAUUUAUUUAUGCAUAUGUAUCUUAUUUUUUAAUUUACUUGAGUUAAAAUUCAAUUUCUGGUUAUAAAAAUAAAUAACAAUAUGUUAAAAUUAUUGAGAUUAAGCGGGUUAAAUUGGAUGGGUCAUUACCUAACCCAUUUUUUAGCCCGUUUGAGCCUAAAGUAAAUUUGGGCGGGUCAUGACUCAAUCCAAUUUCUAUUUCAACCCAUUUUAAUAUCCUCAAUUUAACCUAAUCCACCCAUUUUGCGUGUAUCCCGCUGUAGCAGUCACGCUAUAGCGAUUUGUUUCCUGCUAUAACGGCCUUAGCUUUUCAGCACAGAUAGUCUUUGGUAAAACAGUUACAACUUUUUAGUCCGGACACCAAAAGAAGCAAGCUUGGUGGCGUUGAAAAGAAGACGCACAGACCUUUAAUUUGAUAGUUGAUGGAACACCUAAUUCAUUAUAGGUUGAGAGAUAUGGUCUUUUAAAGUUUCCUUGGUUUAAACUUAAGCUCGAAAUUAAAUCAGUAAGACACUUUCAACUUAACUUUGUGAUAGGGGCAUUGUACGACCUUAAAUCAUAACUAAUGCACUCCCAUAUCAAGGAAUUGAUCCUAACCCUGUGACGGAUAAGAUUCGUAUAUCUUCACCGUAGAUAUUUUCAAUAACGACGGAAUAGGUAGUUACAUUAACAAAACAAUAUAUAUAUAUAGGUGAGGAAAUAGUAUAUACUUGAAGGUUUGUUUUACUUCAUGAAUAUUGAGUAGGCGUUUUGUCCAAACGGGAAAUUCUAUGAAAUUAUUUCUUACCUGUUGUGAAAACAACAUAAAAAUUCGUUAAAAAAUGAAACAACACCUACAAUUCUCAAAGAAAACUAGGAAAAUUAGAAGUAUAAUUUUGUGAGAUAAACCACUCACAUGUCACUGUCACCCAAAAUGAGAAGACAAAAAAAAUGUAUUUUUGGGAAAAAAUCAUUUAAUCGAUGGAUAAGGCUUUGACAAAGAUGCCAAAUGAUAAAACUGUAGUAGUGUACUGACAAUCUAUUCUACAACUAAUAAAGGGUAAAAUAGUCAAUAAACUUUUGAUGUGAAUUUUUAUAUUUUAACUUUUGAUUUUGUGGCUUCUUAUAGUAUGACCUCUACUAUUAUAUAAAAUUUAUAUAGACCUAACUCUUGUUGAUAAUAAGGUACUUAGUACCUUUAAUUAAUUUGUUGUGUCCUACCAAGUUCGUCCAUUGAGUCCAUAUAACUUAAGAAAUUUGACAAGAAUAAAUUAUAUUAAAUAGCUUUGAAAAACUCUAUUCAUAAGUAAAAAAAGUUUCAUUACACGUUUAUUUCAAAUGUGGAAAAUAAUAAAAAAAUAUUAAUGAGUAAUGAAGUACUAUAAAUAUAAGCUUUAGAAGAUGAAAAUAAUGCAUUUAAUUUAAAAAGAUAUUCAUUUGAAAACGUUACUGCAAUAAAUUACUUACAAUUAAAUGCUAAAAUAAUAAAGUUCAGUAUUUUAAGAUAAACUUUCAAAUAUGUAUAAUAUAUUAAUAUAUGAAGUAAUAUUUUCUUUGUACUGGAGGGUCGGAUAAUUCGACAUGAUUAUCGUUUGGUUUGAAUGAUAAAUUGAGUUGUGGGAGUAAUAUUCAUAAGCAACAAAAUUAAAUUUAAACUUAGCCAGAAAUCUUAAAAGUCACUCUUGAAAAUUCAAGUAUCACUAAAUUUUAGUAAGUAUUAAAAGGGUAAUUAUCAAUUUAUUGUGAGUGGUUUUUACGUUUUUGUACAUUGAACUUUUAUGAAACUCUCUACCAUUAACAAACUUUUAGUUGAUCCAAUUAUGUCUAUCUAGCAUUCUAACUACUUUAUUGUAUUUAAAGAGCUAAUUACUAUUUUGUAAUUAUUUUUCAUUUAAAUUACUCAAAUGCAUUCCAAUCUUUCAAUGAAUUAAUUUAAGUUUAAAAAGUAAAGUCAUUCAACUUUUAAUUGACAUUUUGAUAAAUUCAAUUUUUUAGCAUUUAAAGUUCUUACUUAGAAUAUUAUAUAUAUGAGAUAUCAACAUAAAUUAAGAGGAUGCUGUCUAAUAAAAUAGCAUUUGUAGAUGUUGUACCAUUUUUAUUUGCUAAAAAUUUGAAUUGUUUUCUAAAUUUUAAAUGUGGAUGAUAAGAUUUUUAAGGAAAUUGCUUUGAAAUCUUCAAACAACAUUCCAUAUUUAUAGCAAAAAAUCUAGGACAUCUCUGCUUGAAACAAUAAUAACAUCAUGUUAAACUUACUACUUUAUUAUAUCUAAGAAGUUAAAUAACAUAUUUGAACUGAUAAAAUAAAAAACCAAUAAUGAAAAUGUAUAUACAUGAAUAAUUGGACAAUGCAAUAAGAAUCUUUGUCUAUCAUUACAUGUUCUAUUAAUUUAUCAGAAUCACAUACUUAAAAAAAUUAUGAAUUUUUUUUUAUAAAAAUUAAAAUAAAGAAUGAAAGUUAAAGAGAUAACAUUUAUUAUAUCAAAUCAAAUUAACGUGAAAAAUAAUAAAAUACACAUGUGAUCAGAUUAUACAAAAUAAAAAAAAGUUAUACAAAGCAAUAUAUCAAUAAGAAAAAACAUACCAAUAAAUAAAAAAAUUACAGAAGAACUAUAUAUGAGAUGAUGAAACAUAAGUAUAGUGGAUUAAUAUUUUCUAUCCAAUUUAUAAAGGAAGAAAUUGUGUACAUGAAAAAUUGUGAUGUGUUCAAUUGUAGAAGCUAAAUGGUUUAAAAAUUAAAGUCAGAAGUGGAAAAUGAUAAGUUGUAACAUCUAACCAUGUUUUUGGUCUAGUUUAAUUGUAAUUAUUGAUUCAACUUUAAUUUACAGGUUAGUAAAAUAGUAAUUUUUAAUUAAGAAAAUUACUGAAGGGCAUUUUCGUAAUCCAACUUUGAACUUAAAACCUUUUCACUAUAUAUGUCCUUCAAUGCAUCCAUACGUAUUGUUCACCCUUAAUUAGAGGUCUCGAGUUCGAGCCUUGGUAUGGAGAAAACUGUUGCGAGCGCCACCCCCAAUGGGCCCUACAUUACACGAUUCAAAUUUAAUUGGGGCUCUAAUAUGGACUCCGAACACCGGAUGGAAAACCCAAAAAAAAAAAAACUUCAUUGUUUAGUUAGGAUGAAGGCCAUGAUAAAAUAAUGCUAAUUAUAUUUUUAAAAGUUCAAUGUCAUUUCCACAAUAUUGUGUGAUCCCUUUUCUCCAUUUCACCCUUUAAAGAAAAUAAAACAAACCUAAAUUCAUAUAUUGGAGCUAAUUCAAAUUGACUAAGAAGAAAUAAUUGAACAACUUUCCUUGCUUUCGUAACCACAAAUGUUUCCUCAAGUGAUAUAACUUUCAAUUAAAGUAUCUUUACAAUUAACUACUUUGUGGUACAAACUUAAAAUAAAGAGUGGAGAUCAAUCUGCAACACACGUUCACGAAAACUAGUCCAAUAUUAGAAGUGGAACACCCCAAGUAAAAUGUUGAAAAGGAUAAUUUUGUUGUGUUAUGCUUCUGCAAACUUGAGAUGGCAAAAGUCUGUCCUAGCUAAGGGUUCAUCCUGCUAACAGUUGCGCUGAGUAAUAUAAUACAUUACGUCUAAUUGAUUAAGGCCCGGAGGGAUAGUAUACUAUAUAGAUUAGGCUUGUUGCAACUCUAUUAGUCCAUUUGAUGUUCGAGUCCUUUAUCACUGCGUAUACACAAGAAUGGAAAACUUGGUGUUUGAUUGCUUUCAACGAUAUUGCAUCACAAGUCACAAGCAAUCAUCAACUGAAUACUCAAAAUAGACAGGUAGAAAAAUAUUCAAACAGCCAAUUGGAGGGGCCACCAUUUGGCUCAUUUAGUUCGAAAGAUGCAUUACUAAACUUGGCAAAUUUAAAACUAUCCUAGAUUGCCAAUAGGUCGCUAAUUAGGUAACAGAGAAAAGAUAGUCUAAUUCCUUAGUUCAAAAGACAUAUUUUUCACUUAGUUCCUUCAGCAGAGAAACUGAUCACUCCUUACCCUCCUCCACAGGAGACUCAACGUCACUAUCCACUGAAGCCACUGCACACUGAGAAGUGCUUCCAUUUGAUGCAUCCCCCUGCAUAUCAUUGUUUCCCAUUGGUGGUGGAGACACAAAGUAACCAUGGUGAUGCGCCAUUUGGUGCUUCAACAACAAAGGCUCCCCUCUCAGGGAUUCACUCUCACCACCAUCAAACUCACGAUAUUGAUGCAAGUACAAAGUCAAGGGUUCAAUGUAGUCAUCAAAACCAACCUUGCUCAUGGCCCAUAGAAUGUCUUCAGGGGUGAUGGUCUUGCGCUGCUCACUCUGGCAACGAUCGUUGGCUUCCAAUGUUAUGAAGCUUAUGAACUCAGAGACACAUUCUUGUAUGGUCUGUUUGGAGUCAUCGGAUAUUUUGGCAUGGGAAGGAAGGAUCCUGCGCAUAAUUCUGACCACGUUUGCUAUUGGCAUGAAUCGGUCUUGCUCCCGAGUGAUGCAUUCAGUAAUUGCCUGGUUGAGAUGAGCAGGCAUUCCCAUGCUUCUCUCCAUAUCUUAGUUCCACACAACAACAUCAGAGUGAAAUGGAAAAGAAGUAUAGUAUAUAUAUAUAUAUCACAUCAAAUAUUGGUCUAAUUUCAUCACAACUAGCUAGGUUUUUGUAGUCUAAUUAAACAUUAUUAAAUCACAUUUGCUAUCGACUAACUUUUCAAGUGUUGAAGCAAUUACAGAACUAAUGGCAUGCGUAUACACAUAUGUUUCACUAAUUAUUAGCUGGAUAUGAGAGUAAUAUUACUGUAAGACGGCACUAUGAAUUGCGGACAAUAUUCACAUAAACACCAAAAGCACAUAUUAUUUCGACAAAAGAGAUGGCCAGUGUGAAUACAUACUAAUUAAAGUAAUAUAAAAUGCUUCAUAUAUAGUUUUCAUCAUCUAUCUUAUUUUGUCUGAUCUUCAACUAACUCUGGCAUUUAUCAAACCAUCCAAAUUCGCCUCCGAUCAAAAGCCUUUUUAUUUUACCAUCAAUAUGAUAUAGGAAUAAGACAAAAUCUCAUCGUAACGGACACUACACUACCCACUGUUUUCAUAUACUCUAUAUUUGUAGUUCUAGUUGUUCUUAAAGUUUUAUGCAAUGCUUCUUAAUCUUUGGAUAAAUAAAUUCUUGUUAGAUUUUAAUUAACUUCUUAAAAUGCCUAUUUGUUCUGAUGAUAAAUUUGUUCUGUAUUUUAAUUUUAUGGUAAAAGCAGAGUAAUAAAAAUAAAACCUGUCUAAUUUGUGUAAUACAACUUGCUGGUUUUCAAACUUGCUAGCUUUAGUCGGUUUCUUUCUCACUCUCUUUUUACUAAUCGCAUGAAUGCCACUUGUUCCCCUUUUGUCUUAAAAGUUCCAAAAGACAACAAGAAAUGGCCGUGUCGAUCACCAUUACCAUGAAUCGAUCUAUUGAUCUUUGAUAAAUAACUAGCUUUGUAGAUAUAUAUAUAUAUAUAUGGAAAAAAAUAUGCAUAUAUAGUCUCUAGAUAAUUAAAGAUGGGUGUAUAGUAGAAGAUACAACAAGCUAAGAAACGUACACAAGUUGGAGCUCUUCAUCUAAAGAAAAUAAUGAAAAAUUCAGAAGAAUGACUGAAAAUUAUAAGCUCUCCUAAAAUUUCGCUCACAAGUGUUGUCUGAAAGAGUGAUGUGUAUGAAAUGUACCCCUACCUUGUGAAGGUAGAGAAACUGAUGCUAGGCUCGAGUAAGUAUAUCAAAAUCAAAUAUAUAAAACAAAUACAAAGUUUCAAGAAUGUUCUAUGGAGAAGGGGAAUGAAUUUACAAAGGUAAAAGAGAUGCUAGGUAGCAUACCAGGGGAAGGGGAAUGGGCAGGGGUUGGUUGUGGGAAUCUGCGAUAGCUAUGAAAUCCUCCAUUUCCUGAACCAACAUGCUUACCAUUAGUCAUCUCUCUCUCUCUCUCUCUACAAAUAUGUAUCUCUCUCUAAAUAUAUAAAGUAAGUGGCUCUUGACAAGUGAUACUUAUAGCUACAACAAUUAAGAGAAAAGGGGGACACAUAGCAACAGGGCGUAGUGAACGAGGUGAAGGUAUUCACCCGGAUAAAUAGGCUUUCAAGUUGGACAGAUGAGCAUUGACCAAAAAUGAAAUAACUAUAUACCACUAUUUCUUCCAUCCCAAGUGUUACUUUAGCUCAUUUGACAUCCAUUAAGGAAAAUAAUAAAUUGAAGUAUAAUUUAUUAAGUUACCUUUAAUUAUUUGAUGUUUUUUGAGAAUUGAGCAAUAUUAAAAAGUAGUUCUUUAAUACGAUGAGUAGAGUUGGAAAAACAUACUAAUUUUUGUCCUGAAUUCCUACAACAUUUUGGGAAAAUUUAUUUUGGCUAAAGUGCCACUUAUUUUGGGAAAGAAGGAGUAUACGUUACUUAUUGUUUAAUUUUCAACCAUUUGGCCAUUUCCUUUUUACAUUUCUCCUUUCUCAACAAUUUAUAGUUCCAAUCCUAUUCAAACCGACCCCAUUCAUUCAAAUUCAGAAAAAAUUGUUUCGAGUGACUCGUUAUCCAGAGUGUGUAGAGUUACCCACGUCAGUUGUGGAUAGUGAUGACAAAUGCGCGAAUUGGUUCUGGUUUUGGAGGAUUGAAGAUGGAUUGGAUUGAGAUUUGGAUCUCUUUGUAUGACCUUGGAGAAUGCUCAACUGAUCAAUUACCUUUUGAGGUUAAGUCCACCGUUCUUUUUAUUAAAAAUUAUUUUUUCAAGUGUAGGUAAUUCGAUCAUAAACGCUAUUUGAUUUCACAAAUUAUAGGUGAAAUUAACAUACUAGUAGUAUUAAUGAAUGUACCAAGUUGAUGUAACGAAAUUUUGGUAGAUUAAGUAUAGUCAGAAAGGAAUUAGCAACAAUAUACUACAGAAUCCUUCAAUUACCAAGAAAAGCCACACAUUUAAGUGAUCAUAAAACCCCUGAAAAUGUCUGAAUAGCAACUUUGUAACUAUUUAUGAAAUUUAGCAAUAUUAAAUGCAAACUUUUAUCAUCCACAAUGGAACAUUAACAAAACAAAUCCGACUAUAAAUAGGACAACAUCGAACACAUAACAUAAUAAAUUUUGUAUAGCAACUUCCAGAUCAGUUUAAAUAUGACAUCAACACACUUUAAGAAAAGAAGUCGUACGCAAUAUGCCACUUGGAGAACAGGUUUUAAAUGCAGCUUAGCAGUUUCCUUUUUCCUUAAAGUUUGUGGCAUUGCUUAAUUCUGGCACUGUUCAAUGAUCAUCCUCUCAAGUUUCGGAGAAUGAGAAAAGAGGAAUCUUAUUAAGUACAUUUCAGUACUUGAUCCCUUGAA
Molecule: long non-coding RNA, 26531 nt
Filed under: Solanum tuberosum (potato)
Lineage: Eukaryota; Viridiplantae; Streptophyta; Magnoliopsida; Solanales; Solanaceae
Description: long non-coding RNA (STUB_LNC005449)
Source: RNAcentral